Molecule: ribosomal RNA, 470 nt
Filed under: uncultured bacterium
Lineage: Bacteria
Description: bacterial SSU rRNA
Rfam family: Bacterial small subunit ribosomal RNA
Source: RNAcentral
ACUCCUACGGGAGGCAGCAGUGGGGAAUAUUGCACAAUGGGGGAAACCCUGAUGCAGCCAUGCCGCGUGUGUGAAGAAGGCCUUCGGUUGUAAAGCACUUUCAGUAGGGAGGAAGGUAGUGUAGUUAACACCUGCAUUAUUUGACGUUACCUACAGAAGAAGCACCGGCUAACUCCGUGCCAGCAGCCGCGGUAAUACGGAGGGUGCGAGCGUUAAUCGGAAUUACUGGGCGUAAAGCGCAUGCAGGCGGCUUGUUAAGUCAGAUGUGAAAGCCCGGGGCUUAACCUCGGAAUUGCAUUUGAAACUGGCAGGCUAGAGUCUUGUAGAGGGGUUAGAAUUUCAGGUGUAGCGGUGAAAUGCGUAGAGAUCUGAAGGAAUACCAGUGGCGAAGGCGGCCCCUGGACAAAGACUGACGCUCAGAUGCGAAAGCGUGGGAGCAAACAGGAUUAGAUACCCCUGGUAGACUGUCA